Molecule: ribosomal RNA, 253 nt
Filed under: uncultured bacterium
Lineage: Bacteria
Description: partial 16S ribosomal RNA
Rfam family: Bacterial small subunit ribosomal RNA
Source: RNAcentral
UACGGAGGGAGCUAGCGUUAUUCGGAAUUACUGGGCGUAAAGCGCACGUAGGCGGCUUUGUAAGUAGGAGGUGAAAGCCCAGAGCUCAACUCUGGAAUUGCCUUUUAGACUGCAUCGCUUGAAUCAUGGAGAGGUCAGUGGAAUUCCGAGUGUAGAGGUGAAAUUCGUAGAUAUUCGGAAGAACACCAGUGGCGAAGGCGGCUGACUGGACAUGUAUUGACGCUGAGGUGCGAAAGCGUGGGGAGCAAACAGG